Molecule: non-coding RNA, 3677 nt
Organism: Lolium perenne
Lineage: Eukaryota; Viridiplantae; Streptophyta; Magnoliopsida; Poales; Poaceae
Source: RefSeq, a predicted model, not a curated record
GAUCUUUUUCAAAAAUCCCCUUGACGAUUUUCCGACAUAGUUGGAAGUCCUCCCACCGCUUAUCCCGUUAGGUUGUCUUCCUCAUGCGUCCUACCGCCGCUCCGCCGCUCUGCCGCUGCUCUCCCACCGCUCGCCCCCGCCGCCUCGCUGCCGCCCCCUCCGCCCCAAGGCGCUUUCUUGCUUACCCUCGCCGCGCUGCCGCCGCCUUGCUCCCUUGCUGCCUUGCUCCCGCGCUGAUGCCGCUUGCGAAGAAACGGCCGCCAAGAAAGGUUGGGAUUUUCCCGUCCUCCCCAUGGCGGCGGCAGGUGGAGGCGCGGCGGGCCCGGACAUGCGGGAUACGCCGGAAAAGGUGGUCGAAGCUCACAAGGUGGUGCUCUACGUAGGCGCCCCGGCAGGCGGAGCCGGCAUCUUCCUACAGUCCGGCGCCUGAAGCGGCCGAAUCCUGCAUUUUCCUGCGGCCUGAAUCCACUCUUGCGGUCGUAGCACGCGGAUCUAAGCCGCCCUCAAGUCGCUGAUGCCUGCUGGGAUAGGAACGCGCUCCGCGCCGGUCAGGAGAGGAGCAUCACGCCAUGGGAGUCAAGCAGGAGGUCUCCCGCUGGGGCUUCUCCUUUUGCUGCCGCGCACUGGAGCCGCGCCUUGGGGAGUUGGGGACGGCGGCGAGGUGAGGACCGAGGAGGCGAGGAGUGGCAGCAACGGGGCACCUCCGCGCCUCUCCCGUCCGUGGUUUCCGACCUCAUCCGCCAGCUGCUCGACAUGGAGUUCGUGGCCGGCGAGAAGAUGCACUUCGGCGGCAGUGGCUCCAAGAUAAAGGGAGAUUUCAAGGACGUGGAGGACAGGAAGCUCAGAGCUGUCUACGAGACGCUCUCCGACUCCAACCAGAAGCUGCAGUGCUACUCCGCUCGGCAGAUUGGUUCCGGUCUGCUCGGAAGCAGGGGCUAUCUGUGCCAGAAGGAAGAGGUGGUGAUUCAGCUUCCCCACAAGGCAACAAUAACAGGUUAAGAGGUUCCAGGAGCAAGUUACUAACAACAAAUACGGUUAAUGAAGAAGAUAGAGAGUCCUCUGCGAUUCUUGCUGCUGUUGACAUAGUAUUGCUUGAUCCAGAAAAUUGUGAAGAAGUUAAAGAUACAGCCCUUGGCACAUCAUUGCCAACAUUUUGCUCCAGUUACCACAUUUCAACUGAAUUUCAGUGUAGUAGAGAUGCAACCAUUGCAGUUCUCUGGCCAAACAAUAAUUUCAUAGCUACAGUCAACGGUCCAAAGAAAAGGUAGCCACUGUUAUCAUAAAUUUCAGAACCUUCACAGAAAAUUGAUGCUUAUAUACAAUCGAUUUUACAUGCUCAUGUCUAGCUUCUUUUAAUCUGCAGAUGUUUCAACAUUCUUCUUGAAUUAAAUUAUGCUACUUUGUUUAUGCGUGUUAUCAAAUUUGACUCUUGAUUUUACAUGCUCAUGUCUAGCUUCUUUUAAUCUGCAGAUGUUUCAACAUUCUUCUUGAUUUAAGUUAUGCCUAUGCCACUCCAAUUUUCGUACUUUGCCACAAUUUGAAACUUCACCUUUUGCCUUUCAUUAAUACUCCGUAGAUAUUACAUUUAUUUAUGUGUGUUAUCCCAAAUUUGCUAGCCAUGACAAUUAAAUUCAGGAGACACGAAUAUUUAGUUGAUCUGAUUGACAUUCCUUUUGCCAAUUUACCAAAAAAUAUGCUAUAUUUAUUAACAGAUCCUAGAACUUCCAUAUUAUGCUCUGUUUUCCAAUAAGGUAAUGCCUAUUUAUAUUGGUACAUGAUUGGUAUUUGGUAGGCGAUGUCAAAUAUUUUCUGUUUAUAUUGCUACAUGAUUGGUAUUUGGUAGGCGAUCGCAAAUAUUUCCUGUUUAUGUUGAUAUAGAUAGAGAUCUUGAGUACUUCCUGCACAUAUGCUUUUUGUUAGGAAAUUUUGAGAUUUUAUUGUGAACUUUUUUGUUAAGGAAAUAAGGAAAUUCGCAUUCCAAGUUGAUUAUUACAUUUUAUAAUCCAGUUGCUAGAAUAAACAAAGAAGGAGCUCCCAAUUUUUUGGUCAGCUCCUCUGAAACUAAGCCUAGAUGAUGUCUUCCGAAUUUUUUGUAGUUCUAAGGUUAUAUCCAUUGCUUUGUUACUGCUUUUAAACUUUUCGAGGAAAGAGAUUUGCAGAUUAUCAUAUGCUUAAUUUGGAUAUACAUAUUGAAGAUGAAUAAUUGAAUUUAUCCGUGAAGCUCUAUUUUUGGUUUUUAUUAAGGAAUUGGGAAGCAUUGUGGCCUAUCUUGGAGACGAAUCACAGUAGAAGUGAUAAACUUUCUGAUGUUGUUGGGAGCCCAUAUUAUGUCGCACUUGCGGUGCUUCUGAAAUCAUAUGUGGCCCAUAAGCUGAUGUCUUUCACCACCGCGGCCGUCCCAGGGGGCGUGAGCGGGCCGGUGCUCCGCAUGUGCAAGAAUUGCAAGAAGCAGUACGACCCGGCAGCAAAUCACCCAUCAUCCUGCCGCCACCACACAGCCCACUUUGGAGGGUAGAAAAGAGGGCAUGGUGCUGUGGCCAAUCCGCUGAUGACGCCAACAAGGAACAAACCAUCUUCUUAUCAAGACUACCUCCGGAAGUCACAAGACAUUUCCGUAGCACUGAGCUCCAGUCGCAGAUCAUUGUUUGUCCAGGGUAUUGGCUAUUACGGAAGGAGUAUUCCAUAGAGAAAAUUCAUCCAGAGAGCACAUAAUUUGGCAAAAUGAAAUUCUUGACCAGCAUCACAUGAAAUUGUGAAGGCAUUACUGGACACACAAUCUAGAGUAACUCAAGUGAGCAACAAAGCUGGCAGGUCCGACUUUUGAUGUCCCUUGAAACUUGUUUGAAGAAUGGGCAGGUUAAAAUCUGGAUAGAUGAGAUCUCUCUCCCCGGCGGUGCUUGAGGUGGUGUCGAUGUGUUCACUGCUCUUUCUGGUGCUGUUGGAGCUCUAUAUGGUACACUGCAUGGUGGCGCAAAUGAGAUUGCUAGGGUAGAGUACAUGCACUUGAGGGGCUUUCUUCAUCGUGAUAUAAAGCCGGAUAACUUUCUUAUGGGUUUAGGCCGUAGAGCAAGCCAGGUUGGUGCCAUUCUUGCACAUUUUUAUUUGCCCGACUUGAUUUAUCAAUUUUGUUUCCUUUCUAUUUGCAUAAUUCGUAGUGGCAUUAUACUAUUUAUAGUUUUUGACCUGGUCCAUGAUACACUGAAGAAAAGUUAUAUCAUCUGGUAGCUUGGCACUUCAAACAGGGUAGAAGCCAGGGUUGGGCAAGCUUGUGGCUAGUCCAGCCUGAUCAUAUACUCUACUGGGCAUUGGGCUGGGCCAAAAAAAAUCACAAGCUUGCCCCAUUCCUGGCUCUAGUCCUGGGCCCCGGGUGAAAGCCUAGCUGCCCCAGGUCUGUUUCCACCCCUGAAUUCAAGCCCCUCAAAUUAUAAUUAGGAGAGGCUAAAUGGUAUCACAACAGAAAUUCACUGGGUUAUAGAUGGUCCUGUACAUGAUCUUUUCUUGCUUUUUUGUUAAGCAAGAGAUUCAUCUCGAAACUGUUACAGCUGAUGUUCAUGCAUUAUGAUUAUAAUGACCGUAAUGGUGCUGUACAACUCUACUUAAUUCUACUCCUGGUGUUAAAUAAUAAAUAAUUAUUAAUACAUCAGUUGCUGCCCUGAUGGAAUGACUUUGCAACGUAA